GGAGGGGUGCCGGAGUGGUCGAUCGGGGCGGUCUCGAAAACCGUUAAACCCUUUGCGGGGUUUCGUGGGUUCGAAUCCCACCCCCUCCGCCA
RNAcentral lists this transfer RNA (92 nucleotides) under Alphaproteobacteria bacterium. RNAcentral describes it as "tRNA-Ser". It matches the Rfam family "tRNA". From Rfam's summary of the family: Transfer RNA (tRNA) molecules are approximately 80 nucleotides in length. Their secondary structure includes four short double-helical elements and three loops (D, anti-codon, and T loops). Lineage: Bacteria; Pseudomonadati; Pseudomonadota; Alphaproteobacteria. The record is from RNAcentral.